RNAcentral lists this ribosomal RNA (897 nucleotides) under uncultured Microbacteriaceae bacterium. RNAcentral's name for it is "bacterial SSU rRNA". It matches the Rfam family "Bacterial small subunit ribosomal RNA", at positions 505 to 1398 of the family's 1533-position model. The record is from RNAcentral. Lineage: Bacteria; Bacillati; Actinomycetota; Actinomycetes; Micrococcales; Microbacteriaceae.
GAUGCCAGCAGCCGCGGUAAUACGUAGGGCGCAAGCGUUAUCCGGAAUUAUUGGGCGUAAAGAGCUCGUAGGCGGUUUGUCGCGUCUGCUGUGAAAUCCCGAGGCUCAACCUCGGGCCUGCAGUGGGUACGGGCAGACUAGAGUGCGGUAGGGGAGAUUGGAAUUCCUGGUGUAGCGGUGGAAUGCGCAGAUAUCAGGAGGAACACCGAUGGCGAAGGCAGAUCUCUGGGCCGUAACUGACGCUGAGGAGCGAAAGGGUGGGGAGCAAACAGGCUUAGAUACCCUGGUAGUCCACCCCGUAAACGUUGGGAACUAGUUGUGGGGACCAUUCCACGGUUUCCGUGACGCAGCUAACGCAUUAAGUUCCCCGCCUGGGGAGUACGGCCGCAAGGCUAAAACUCAAAGGAAUUGACGGGGACCCGCACAAGCGGCGGAGCAUGCGGAUUAAUUCGAUGCAACGCGAAGAACCUUACCAAGGCUUGACAUAUACGAGAACGGGCCAGAAAUGGUCAACUCUUUGGACACUCGUAAACAGGUGGUGCAUGGUUGUCGUCAGCUCGUGUCGUGAGAUGUUGGGUUAAGUCCCGCAACGAGCGCAACCCUCGUUCUAUGUUGCCAGCACGUAAUGGUGGGAACUCAUGGGAUACUGCCGGGGUCAACUCGGAGGAAGGUGGGGAUGACGUCAAAUCAUCAUGCCCCUUAUGUCUUGGGCUUCACGCAUGCUACAAUGGCCGGUACAAAGGGCUGCAAUACCGUGAGGUGGAGCGAAUCCCAAAAAGCCGGUCCCAGUUCGGAUUGAGGUCUGCAACUCGACCUCAUGAAGUCGGAGUCGCUAGUAAUCGCAGAUCAGCAACGCUGCGGUGAAUACGUUCCCGGGUCUUGUACACACCGCCCGUC